CUACGGAGGGUCCAAGCGUUAUCCGGAUUCAUUGGGUUUAAAGGGUCCGCAGGCGGGAAAAUAAGUCAGUGGUGAAAGCCUACAGCUCAACUGUAGAACUGCCAUUGAUACUGUUUUUCUUGAGUAUAGACGAAGUGGGCGGAAUAUAUCAUGUAGCGGUGAAAUGCAUAGAUAUGAUAUAGAACACCGAUUGCGAAGGCAGCUCACUAAACUAUUACUGACGCACAGGGACGAAAGCGUGGGGAGCGAACAGGAUUAGAAACCCUAGUAGUCC
RNAcentral lists this ribosomal RNA (274 nucleotides) under uncultured bacterium. RNAcentral describes it as "partial 16S ribosomal RNA". It matches the Rfam family "Bacterial small subunit ribosomal RNA", at positions 523 to 796 of the family's 1533-position model. The record is from RNAcentral.